RNAcentral lists this long non-coding RNA (2716 nucleotides) under Homo sapiens (human). Its description in RNAcentral is "HSALNT0342309". The record is from RNAcentral. Lineage: Eukaryota; Metazoa; Chordata; Mammalia; Primates; Hominidae.
AGUGCCCGAGGUGGCCCGCCCGCUGUACCAGAGCAGGAAGCCUCGUCCUCCUGUGCCCUCAUCCGUCGUCAUCCUCAGGGUCACCUGGUUGCCGGGGGCGACUAGGGGCGCAGGCCGGAAGGUCCCACAAAAGCGUCCGAGCCGCUGGCCGGAAGUCCCAGACCCAGCGAAGACCUCCAGAGCAUCGUAGCGGCAGGCGGGGUGCAGCUCCAGGUCGAAGACUCGGAAUGAGAGGGACACAGUCUGGCCCUCGGGGACCUGAUAGCGGGGACAGAGGCGGGGACCCACAGAGUCAGGCCCCACACAACCCAGCCAGAGGGCAGCUCCCCUGCCCCAAGCGUUUCUUGCAGAAACGGACUGAAUGGGAAGGGGCCUCCAUGAAUUCCCGGAAUCCUCCUCGGCCCCCCUUCCAGACUCCCGCCUCACUCUGCCUGGCAGUCCAGGGACAGGAGCCGCCUAACUACUUCCAGAUGUGGACACAGCCACGAGGCGGUGGGGGGGAGGGGGUGGAGAGAUGGAGGGAGCUGCAGUGGCGAUGGCCCUCUGAUUGAACCUGGAGGCCAGGCUCCGCGAGCUCCACACCUUAGCCCUGCCCCUGUUCCAAACUACUUCAGAUUCUGACUCCCAAGUCUCCACUCACUGCCCCCUCCUCCCCCUACAAUCCCUCUCGAAUUCCUUCCUGGAAUCCAGCUACCAGGCAAGUUCAGGAGCUUGGCUCUCUCUUGGGUUCUAUGGGGGGUCAAGGAUCUGGGUGGGUGGGGAGACUUAAGAGACCAGAGGACGAAGGUGGGGGAAUGGGAGCAGUGGUGGCCUGCAGGAGACCAAGGUCUUGCAGCAGAUGGGGAGGAUUUGGGGGCCAGAGAAGGGUGAGGCGGUGGGGAAUCUGGGGAGUGGUGUGUCAGCAAGGGAACCCAAAAUAUCUCCAGGCAUAACCCCAAAGGAAUCGGGGGUCUGAAGUUCACUGGAGCUGUCUGGAAGAUGCCAAGAGACCUACCUGGUGUAGUUGGGGGUCUGGCCCUGGGCAAAAGGCAGCAGGGCGCAGGCAGUGAGGAGGGGCCCCAGGAGGGAGGCUGUGGCUGCAGGCAGCAUGGCCCCGGGGGAAAGGCGCUGGGGUCCUCAAGACAGAGGCAGCAGCUGAAUUUUGCAGAGCAGCAGCAGCGGUGGCGGCAGCAGCAGGAUAAUCAGCGCCAGAUGGGGCAGCCUUGGACCUGGGCCAGACUAGGCCAAGGAGAAGGAAUUCUCACCCAUGACCUCUUCCAACUACUUGAAGCCCUCUGCAGCAUGUCCAGGGCCUCCCAGAAGAAGUCCUUCUGUGCGGCCAUCAGGGGCAUCCACCCUACGAUCUCCUUCAUCUUCUCCGUGCGGUCCUGCAACGUUUGGCAACUGUGGAUCUGGCUGAGCUUGACGAAGGAGGCACUCCCCUUGGGCCAGCCUGGGAGGCGGCCCCCAGCCCCACAGCCGCAGCCCAGCAGCUCCUUGCUGAACUCUGAGCUCUGGCUCAGCACCAGGGAGUGGUUGAGGCCGCACCACAGGGUGAUGGGCCGCUGCAGAAAAUCAGCUCCUUGCCUGAGCCCAGGGCCUGCUGUGGUGUACCCCUCAUUCUCAGCCCACCCGUCUAUGCCAGUCCAGCCUCUCAUCCUGCCUGCCAGCCUCGGGGAGACUUGCUUCUUGUGCAAUUCCAGCAGGGUCUGAGGAAUCUGCAGGAAACAGUUUGCAAAAGCCAUUGCUUUGGGCCACACCUGUGAGGAGCAGUAGAGCCCGCUGGGUCUCCUGACCAACCAGCACGAUCUGCUUGAAGGUCAUUGAGUGGUGGAAUGUCAUCUUGAAGACCCGCUGCCCACUAGACUGCAGAUAGACCUCAACACAGUCACAGGCCCGGCUGCUGGUGGUACCCACCACUUCCUGCGGCUCCCGAGUGGCCAAGACGUAGAGGGCCGGACUCCAGAACCCUGAUCUUGGAGGCGCGGACUGAGUCUGCGACAGAUGCGUCUCCACACGCCUUCCCCAUCGCACACUUCGUGGAAGUAGCGGCAGGACUCACCAGCUCUGGGGGGAACAACUGGAUGGAAAUCGGAUUUCCUUUCCCCCUCUUCUCUUCAACCCCAAGCUCCGAGCCACAAGAAGGGCAGCUUCUCUUCACCUACCCAAGAAGGGGUGCAUAGGGUCCCAUGAGGGUCCCACAUCCUUUUUUCCCUUCUCUCCGCCUACCUUGGGGCUCAUCUGACUCUAGCUGGGCACAGUUAUUUCCUCCCCUCUCUCUCCAGACCCAUCCCUAACUUCUCCAAAUAACUCCUCCCGAUCUCCUGCGGCCAAUCCCCCUCACCCGGAGCCCCUCCUCCCGUCCACACAGCCUGGUGAAUUUUUGCAGCUUCCGUCUCUGGCUUCCCCUGACCAUCCUGAUUGCCCCCUCCCUGCUCCUGCCCUCCUGUCUCCUAGGCCCUUGGCCCCCCCGUUCCUGCUGGCUUUCCCACACCAUGUCCCCAGCCUAGGCUUGGGGGACCUCUGAGGCCCCUCUGCCUCCUAGGCCCCUCCCCCAUGGAGUCUGGGGCUAACAAACCUCUCUGUGACCUCACUGUUUGGCCACUGUGACCUGUUCCCUUUAAUCUUGCCCAGGACCCAUCUCUUAGACAGCUCCUGGGUUCUAGCUCAGUUCUAGCCAUCACAUGGCUCAAGGGAUAUGCAUUUUACUGGAGAAAUAAAGUGUGAAUUACUGGUA